GUAUCCAACAAGGAAGUGACGGCUAACUACGUGCCAGCAGCCGCGGUAAAACGUAGGUCACAAGCGUUGUCCGGAAUUACUGGGUGUAAAGGGAGCGCAGGCGGGAAGACAAGUUGGAAGUGAAAUCUAUGGGCUCAACCCAUAAACUGCUUUCAAAACUGUUUUUCUUGAGUAGUGCAGAGGUAGGCGGAAUUCCCGGUGUAGCGGUGGAAUGCGUAGAUAUCGGGAGGAACACCAGUGGCGAAGGCGGCCUACUGGGCACCAACUGACGCUGAGGCUCGAAAGUGUGGGUAGCAAACAGGAUUAGAUACCCUGGUAGUCCACACCGUAAACGAUGAUUACUAGGUGUUGGAGGAUUGACCCCUUCAGUGCCGCAGUUAACACGAUAAGUAAUCCACCUGGGGA
RNAcentral lists this ribosomal RNA (405 nucleotides) under uncultured bacterium. RNAcentral describes it as "bacterial SSU rRNA". It matches the Rfam family "Bacterial small subunit ribosomal RNA", at positions 475 to 879 of the family's 1533-position model. The record is from RNAcentral.